AUUGAACGCUGGCGGCGUGCUUAACACAUGCAAGUCGAACGCGAAAGGGAUUUCGGUCCUGAGUAAAGUGGCGCACGGUGAGUAACGCGUGGAUAAUCUGCCCUUAUGAUUGGAAUAACAGUUGGAAACGGCUGCUAAUACCGGAUACGCUCAAAAUGAACUUUUUGAGGAAAGAUGGCCUCUGCUUGCAUGCUAUCGCAUAAGGAUGAGUCCGCGUCCCAUUAGCUUGUUGGCGGGGUAACGGCCCACCAAGGCAACGAUGGGUAGCCGAUUUGAGAGGAUGAUCGGCCACACUGGAACUGAAACACGGUCCAGACUCCUACGGGAGGCAGCAGUGGGGAAUAUUGCGCAAUGGGCGAAAGCCUGACGCAGCGACGCCGCGUGAGGGAUGAAGGUUUUCGGAUCGUAAACCUCUGUCAGAAGGGAAGAAACUACGUUGUGCUAAUCAGCAGCGUACUGACGGUACCUUCAAAGGAAGCACCGGCUAACUCCGUGCCAG
RNAcentral lists this ribosomal RNA (499 nucleotides) under uncultured bacterium. RNAcentral describes it as "bacterial SSU rRNA". It matches the Rfam family "Bacterial small subunit ribosomal RNA", at positions 30 to 511 of the family's 1533-position model. The record is from RNAcentral.